Molecule: transfer RNA, 68 nt
Filed under: Loxodonta africana (African savanna elephant)
Lineage: Eukaryota; Metazoa; Chordata; Mammalia; Proboscidea; Elephantidae
Rfam family: tRNA
About the family: Transfer RNA (tRNA) molecules are approximately 80 nucleotides in length. Their secondary structure includes four short double-helical elements and three loops (D, anti-codon, and T loops). Further hydrogen bonds mediate the characteristic L-shaped molecular structure. tRNAs have two regions of fundamental functional importance: the anti-codon, which is responsible for specific mRNA codon recognition, and the 3' end, to which the tRNAs corresponding amino acid is attached (by aminoacyl-tRNA synthetases). tRNAs cope with the degeneracy of the genetic code in two manners: having more than one tRNA (with a specific anti-codon) for a particular amino acid; and 'wobble' base-pairing, i.e. permitting non-standard base-pairing at the 3rd anti-codon position.
Source: Rfam by way of RNAcentral
GCAAUGGUUCAGUGGUAGGAUUCUUGCCUUCCACACAGGAGAUCUGGGUUGGAUUCCUAGUCAAUGCA